GAUAUAUCUUGUGGAGGGUGACCCAAAUUCUUCCGAAGUUGCCGAAAGCAUCAAAACAGCCAAUACAAGAACCAUGGAGAAAUGAUAAAUUUGAUUCACGCCUGUUGCAUCCCAGGUUUUUUCAUCUACAAGUCCCUAAGCACAUUUCCUAAAUAGAACUUGAAUGGGUGCCUUUUUAUUUUAUUUUAUUCUACUCAUUCUGGCUUCAACACUCUGUUUUGACUAGGAGGGCGACCGAAGUGCACAAGAAGAGAUGCUUAGUAGGCAGAGCAAAUAAAUGAUCAAUUUAGUUGCUAGUAAGAAUAUAUUCAACUUAGUCUGGGGCAAAUGAGUGUUUUAAUCCCCUUGAACUAACAAGGCUUCAUGGGUCCUGAAGCUUGUAUUUCAUGAAGCAAAAGCAAUCUGCUUUAAACUUCGAGGAGAUUUCACAAUAGAGCACUGUAAAUAAGAGAUAAGAGUGUGGAGGAUUUGUUGAAGAGCUUUCUUGUGUUAAGCAGAGUUUUGUUUAAUUGUUAGGACUUGGACGCUAUUUCACAUUCUCUAUUGAAAUGUUCAGAAAAGAUAUGCCAAUCAGUCUUAUUCUCCAAGUUUGUUGUUA
This is a long non-coding RNA of Juglans microcarpa x Juglans regia, 598 nucleotides long. RefSeq lists it as uncharacterized. The record is from RefSeq and is a predicted model, not a curated record. Lineage: Eukaryota; Viridiplantae; Streptophyta; Magnoliopsida; Fagales; Juglandaceae. The transcript is spliced from 2 exons.